Molecule: long non-coding RNA, 513 nt
Organism: Thunnus maccoyii (southern bluefin tuna)
Lineage: Eukaryota; Metazoa; Chordata; Actinopteri; Scombriformes; Scombridae
Exons: 2
Source: RefSeq, a predicted model, not a curated record
CCCUGAACUGGGUGGUGGCUGACUGCCAGCAAACCCCAACUCCCACCUACCAACCUGGGCAGAGAGAGUGGCUGUCAACCCAAGACCUUCCCUGGCCUUUCCCUGUCUUGGAUUCCCCAGAUCCGUGAGGAUUCACACAACGUUCCAGGUUGUCAAACCUGUGAAGGAGAGUCCCUUGUUUCCUGCCUCCAGAUACUUCUCUUCCUGCCAUUGUGUGUUUCCCGCCUGUGUGAUUGCCAACCCUGCCCCAAUUUGUUUCACCUGUCCCUCAUUAUCCUUCCCUCCCUAGUGUAUUUAGUCUGUGUGUUCUCAUUGCCAGUUCAUCUUUGUACCCAGUGUCAAGUGUUCUAGUCUUUUUCCUAGUGUCUAGUUCUCCUUGUGUUUUUGAUCUGUGCUUUGUUUUAGCUGAACCUUGCCUUUGUCUUCUAGUUGCUGGAUUUGUUUGCAUGAUCUUCUGACUGACUCCCUACUCCCUACCGAACCUUUGAAAGUAAAGAUUGUUUUUGAUCAAGA